Molecule: ribosomal RNA, 532 nt
Filed under: uncultured bacterium
Lineage: Bacteria
Description: bacterial SSU rRNA
Rfam family: Bacterial small subunit ribosomal RNA
Source: RNAcentral
AGAGUUUGAUCAUGGCUCAGGAUGAACGCUGGCGGUAUGCUUAACACAUGCAAGUCGAACGGAUGUCUUCGGACAUUAGUGGCGGACGGGUGAGUAACGCGUGAGAAUCUGCCUACAGAAUGGGGAUAACGUCGGGAAACUGACGCUAAUACCGAAUGAGCCGAGAGGUAAAAGAUUUAUCGUCUGUAGAUGAGCUCGCGUCUGAUUAGCUAGUUGGGGAGGUAAUGGCUCACCAAGGCGACGAUCAGUAACUGGUCUGAGAGGAUGACCAGUCACACUGGGACUGAGACACGGCCCAGACUCCUACGGGAGGCAGCAGUGGGGAAUUUUCCGCAAUGGGCGCAAGCCUGACGGAGCAAUACCGCGUGCGGGAGGAAGCUUUUUGGAGUGUAAACCGCUUUUCUCAGGGAAGAUGAUGACGGUACCUGAGGAAUCAGCAUCGGCUAACUUCGUGCCAGCAGCCGCGGUAAUACGAGGGAUGCAAGCGUUAUCCGGAAUUAUUGGGCGUAAAGCGUUCGUAGGUGGCUAAGUU